Molecule: ribosomal RNA, 247 nt
Filed under: uncultured Lachnospiraceae bacterium
Lineage: Bacteria; Bacillati; Bacillota; Clostridia; Lachnospirales; Lachnospiraceae
Description: partial 16S ribosomal RNA
Rfam family: Bacterial small subunit ribosomal RNA
Source: RNAcentral
UACGUAGGGGGCAAGCGUUAUCCGGAUUUACUGGGUGUAAAGGGAGCGCAGAUGCAAGUCUGGAGUGAAAGCCCGGGGCUCAACCCCGGGACUGCUUUGGAAACUGUAUGGCUAGAGUGCUGGAGAGGCAAGCGGAAUUCCUAGUGUAGCGGUGAAAUGCGUAGAUAUUAGGAAGAACACCAGUGGCGAAGGCGGCUUGCUGGACAGUAACUGACGUUCAGGCUCGAAAGCGUGGGGAGCAAACAGG